AGUGGGGAAUAUUGGACAAUGGGGGCAACCCUGAUCCAGCCAUGCCGCGUGAGUGAUGAAGGCCCUAGGGUUGUAAAGCUCUUUCAGCGAGGAGGAUAAUGACGUUACUCGCAGAAGAAGCCCCGGCUAACUUCGUGCCAGCAGCCGCGGUAAUACGAAGGGGGCUAGCGUUGUUCGGAAUCACUGGGCGUAAAGCGCACGUAGGCGGAUUGGUCAGUUAGGGGUGAAAUCCCGGAGCUCAACUCCGGAACUGCCUUUAAUACUGCCAGUCUUGAGUCCGAGAGAGGUGAGUGGAACUCCGAGUGUAGAGGUGAAAUUCGUAGAUAUUCGGAAGAACACCAGUGGCGAAGGCGGCUCACUGGCUCGGUACUGACGCUGAGGUGCGAAAGCGUGGGGAGCAAA
RNAcentral lists this ribosomal RNA (402 nucleotides) under uncultured Labrenzia sp. RNAcentral's name for it is "bacterial SSU rRNA". It matches the Rfam family "Bacterial small subunit ribosomal RNA", at positions 353 to 772 of the family's 1533-position model. Lineage: Bacteria; Pseudomonadati; Pseudomonadota; Alphaproteobacteria; Hyphomicrobiales; Stappiaceae. The record is from RNAcentral.